Molecule: ribosomal RNA, 345 nt
Filed under: uncultured Geobacillus sp.
Lineage: Bacteria; Bacillati; Bacillota; Bacilli; Caryophanales; Anoxybacillaceae
Description: bacterial SSU rRNA
Rfam family: Bacterial small subunit ribosomal RNA
Source: RNAcentral
AGGUGGUGCAUGGUUGUCGUCAGCUCGUGUCGUGAGAUGUUGGGUUAAGUCCCCGCAACGAGCGCAACCCUCGCCUCUAGUUGCCAGCAUUCGGUUGGGCACUCUAGAGGGACUGCCGGCGACAAGUCGGAGGAAGUGGGGAUGACGUCAAAUCAUCAUGCCCCUUAUGACCUGGGCUACACACGUGCUACAAUGGGCGGUACAAAGGGCUGCGAACCCGCGAGGGGGAGCGAAUCCCAAAAAGCCGCUCUCAGUUCGGAUUGCAGGCUGCAACUCGCCUGCAUGAAGCCGGAAUCGCUAGUAAUCGCGGAUCAGCAUGCCGCGGUGAAUACGUUCCCGGGCCUU